CCCGGUGGACUAAAAUGGCAAUGGUGAAACCUUUUUAGACCAACAGGCGAAAAAUGAAACCUUUGGACUAAACUGGCAAAAUGGCCCAAACCACAAGGACUAAAAUGACAUUUAACUCAUUUUGAAUGGUUAUAAUUUAAUACGUUUGUAUAUUGCGAGUGAGUACACUUUGGGCUAUGCUUGACCUUAUAUAUUAGCUCAGUUUUGAAGUUUAUCUCUAUGACCAGUUAGAGGCAUAUUUUAACCCAGUGGACCCGUUUGUAAAUGCAUGGUUUGAAGUUUAUCCCACAUAGGUUUGACUUUUUUGUAUGUACAUGUUUUUAUAGGUUUACAUGUCUGCUUUGCAUUCGACACCCUGGUGGCACGCGUGAAAACUUGGCGUGUUUUGCUAAUUGAGAUGCAGUAUAUAUUUUCUCUCACUAUUACUUACUAUUAUAAAGCUAAUAAUACGUAAGAUUUAGCUAUUUACUUAUCACGUUAUGUGUGUUAAUUCUAAAGAGAUUGCUAUUUCGGCCCAUUUACUUAUGAAUGGGUCAAAAUGGUUGUGCUUUAUCUUAAAUGGGUCAAAUAGAAAAAGGUAAAAUGGGAAUGGUUCAUACGGGUCAAACGGGUGAGAGUCAUGCAAAAUCUAUUACCGCAUACAAUAUCCUAUAUCGUCUUAUUCAAAGGUUUAUAUUAUUAUUGUAGUAUAAUAAUAAUGUGUGGUUUGAAUUUGGAGAAUCUGGGCAAGAAUCAUGGUUUGCUUUACAUAAAUGGCUGGAAUGUAUGUCCUGGUAAAGAAGAUUCUUAGACGAAGUUGAUUUGUUGUACAACGGUGCUCGUGUUGAGGCUGCUGAUGUAAGUGCUUACCGGGCAGUUCAUGUCGCAGCUCAGUAUGGUCAAACAUCCUUCUUGAAUUUAAGUAUGAUGCUGAUUUUAAUGUACCAGAUAAUGACGGAAGGACCCCUCUUCAUUGGUACCUUUUUAUUUCUGCAUCGACACUUGGAAUGUUAAAUUUCAACUUAUUUUUCUAUCUAUUCUCAAUUAGGUCUGCAUAUAAAGGAUUUGCAGAUACAAUUAGAUUACUUCUUUUUUUAGACGUAUUUCAAGGAAAACAAGAUAAAGAAGGGAACAAGGGGUUAAUCGGGCUUAGUUUAUGGAUAAUACGAAGUCGUAUCAACAGAGACGAGGGAGUUUCGUCCCUCUUAUCACCAACACAAAUGCUCUGGUCAAGUGAAAAUGGUACAAGUAACAGAGAUGACAAAGAGAAAGGUGUCAAUGUGCAAGUUGUUUUGAGCAUAUGUCACUCUCCACAUGUGGUUGGCCAAAUAGAAACUCAAUGUGAUUUCAUUUAGUAUUUUUAAUCUAGAAAUAAGACUCAAAAUAGUUUUUAACUUUUUGCAAUGAAUAUGUGAGAGAGAAUUUUAUAUAUAGGAUUA
Molecule: long non-coding RNA, 1418 nt
Organism: Helianthus annuus (common sunflower)
Lineage: Eukaryota; Viridiplantae; Streptophyta; Magnoliopsida; Asterales; Asteraceae
Exons: 3
Source: RefSeq, a predicted model, not a curated record